RNAcentral lists this ribosomal RNA (852 nucleotides) under uncultured bacterium. RNAcentral's name for it is "bacterial SSU rRNA". It matches the Rfam family "Bacterial small subunit ribosomal RNA", at positions 1 to 839 of the family's 1533-position model. The record is from RNAcentral.
UAGAGUUUGAUCCUGGCUCAGAGCGAACGUUAGCGGCGCGCCUAACACAUGCAAGUCGCACGAGAAAGGGGGCAACCCCCGGUACAGUGGCGCACGGGUGAGUAACACGUGGAUUACCUCCCCUGGAGUGGUGGAUAACCUGUCGAAAGACGGGCUAAUACAGCAUGAGACCACGCAGUUUCGACUGUGGGGUCAAAGCGGGCCUCUGUUCACAAGCUCGCGCUCUGGGAUGGGUCCGCGCCCCAUCAGCUAGUUGGUAGGGUAACGGCCUACCAAGGCAACGACGGGUAGCUGGUCUGAGAGGAUGAUCAGCCACACUGGAACUGAGACACGGUCCAGACUCCUACGGGAGGCAGCAGUGGGGAAUCUUGCGCAAUGGGCGAAAGCCUGACGCAGCGACGCCGCGUGGGUGACGAAGGCCUUCGGGUUGUAAAGCCCUGUGGGGGGAGACGAACCGGCUCAUGGCUAACAUCCAUGGGCCCUGACGGUAUCCCUUUAGCAAGCAUCGGCUAACUCUGUGCCAGCAGCCGCGGUAAGACAGAGGAUGCAAACGUUGCUCGGAAUUACUGGGCGUAAAGCGCGCGCAGGUGGUUCGGUAAGUCGGGUGUGAAAUCCCGGGGCUCAACCUCGGACGUGCACACGAUACUGCCGGACUCGAGUACUGGAGAGGAGAGCGGAAUUCCCGGUGUAGAGGUGAAAUUCGUAGAUAUCGGGAGGAACACCAGUGGCGAAGGCGGCUCUCUGGACAGAUACUGACACUGAGGCGCGAAAGCGUGGGAAGCAAACAGGAUUAGAUACCCUGGUAGUCCACGCUGUAAACGAUGACGACUGGGUGUUUCGGGUAUUGACCCC